RNAcentral lists this ribosomal RNA (253 nucleotides) under uncultured bacterium. Its description in RNAcentral is "partial 16S ribosomal RNA". It matches the Rfam family "Bacterial small subunit ribosomal RNA", at positions 524 to 776 of the family's 1533-position model. The record is from RNAcentral.
UACGUAGGGGGCAAGCGUUGUCCGGAAUCAUUGGGCGUAAAGAGCGUGUAGGCGGCCCGAUAAGUCCGCUGUGAAAGUCCAGGGCUCAACCCUGGAAUGCCGGUGGAUACUGUCGGGCUCGAAUCCGGAAGAGGUGAGUGGAAUUCCUGGUGUAGCGGUGAAAUGCGCAGAUAUCAGGAGGAACACCAAUGGCGAAGGCAGCUCACUGGGACGGUAUUGACGCUGAGACGCGAAAGCGUGGGGAGUAAACGGG